Molecule: ribosomal RNA, 497 nt
Filed under: uncultured bacterium
Lineage: Bacteria
Description: partial 16S ribosomal RNA
Rfam family: Bacterial small subunit ribosomal RNA
Source: RNAcentral
GAUGAACGCUGGCGGCGUGCCUAAUACAUGCAAGUCGAGCGAACAGACGAGGAGCUUGCUCCUCUGACGUUAGCGGCGGACGGGUGAGUAACACGUGGAUAACCUACCUAUAAGACUGGGAUAACUUCGGGAAACCGGAGCUAAUACCGGAUAAUAUAUUGAACCGCAUGGUUCCAUAGUGAAAGACGGUUUUGCUGUCACUUAUAGAUGGAUCCGCGCCGCAUUAGCUAGUUGGUAAGGUAACGGCUUACCAAGGCAACGAUGCGUAGCCGACCUGAGAGAGUGAUCGGCCACACUGGAACUGAGACACGGUCCAGACUCCUACGAGAGGCAGCAGUAGGGAAUCUGCCGCAAUGGGCGAAAGCCUGACGGAGCAACGCCGCGUGAGUGAUGAAGGUCUUCGGAUCGUAAAACUCUGUUAUUAGGGAAGAACAAAUGUGUAAGUAACUAUGCACGACUUGACGGUACCUAAUCAGAAAGCCACGGCUAACUACGUG